This 253-nucleotide ribosomal RNA is filed under the name uncultured bacterium. RNAcentral's name for it is "partial 16S ribosomal RNA". It matches the Rfam family "Bacterial small subunit ribosomal RNA", at positions 524 to 776 of the family's 1533-position model. The record is from RNAcentral.
UACAGAGGUCUCAAGCGUUGUUCGGAUUCAUUGGGCGUAAAGGGUGCGUAGGCGGCGCGGUAAGUCGGGUGUGAAAUCUCGGAGCUUAACUCCGAAACUGCAUUCGAUACUGCCGUGCUUGAGGACUGGAGAGGAGACUGGAAUUUACGGUGUAGCGGUGAAAUGCGUAGAUAUCAGGAGGAACACCAGCGGCGAAGGCGGCGCUCUGGGCCGGUACUGACACUGAGGAGCGAAAGCGUGGGUAGCAAACAGG